RNAcentral lists this unclassified non-coding RNA (534 nucleotides) under Hevea brasiliensis (rubber tree). Lineage: Eukaryota; Viridiplantae; Streptophyta; Magnoliopsida; Malpighiales; Euphorbiaceae. The record is from RNAcentral.
AGCAAUUGCUACUGAACCUAAGCCGUCGGAGUCAAAGGCAACCGGCAUUCCUAAACCAGUCAAUGGUUCUUCUACAAGAAUACAGGAUGUAUCACAAGAGAUCAAGAGAGUGAGGGCGCAAAUGGAAGAAAAUGAAGACUUAGCUAUACUCAUGAGGGGGCUUCGAGGUCAAAACCUGAGGGAUUCAUUGUUUGCUGAUGAUAACAUUAAGCUUCGUCUAGUAGAGGUUGAUGAGAGCAGUGAGUUCUUGCCCUUAGUUUAUGAUCCUGCUAGCAUUUCUGCAUAUUGGGGUAAACGACCGCGUGCUGUUGCAACCCGUAUAGUCCAGCUAACAUCUGUUGCUGGAGGUUUUCUUUCACGUCUUGCCUGGGACUUGAUAAAUAAAAAGGUUAAAGAGAAUGAGGUUGCUCGAGCAAUUGAGUUGAGGGAGAUUGUAACAUCACUGGGUCCAGCAUACAUAAAGCUAGGGCAAGCUUUAAGCAUCCGGCCAGAUAUACUAUCACCUGCUGCGAUGGUUGAGCUGCAGAAGCUUUG